CUUAUCAAGAUAAAAGUUAUUAAGGAUCAAGCCAAAGUUGUUGCUCUAUCGUCAUAUACACAUGCAAAGCUAUUCACUCCAAGGAUUGAUUUUUUGAGAAUGAUUGAAAAUUUUCAAGUUCUAAAGUUCCAACAGUUUGAUAGCAAAGGAAAUCUACGUCAACAUGUGCAUUUCGUGGAAACCUACAAUAGUGUUGACAAUUAUGGAGUGUAAUAGGCCCAAUUUGCCCGGAGGGCCUACAAUAAAUCAAAAAACCAAAAACCAAAAAAUAUGUGUAUCAAAUAAAAAUAAAUAAACUAAGGUGUUUAUGAGGCCAACGUCCAUUUACAAAAUUCUGGGCCUAAAUUAAACCCAAACCGAUUAACCCAAACUUAAUUUCAGGCUUAAACCCAAACCUAUAGCUUAACAAUUAUAUCCAAAAUCCUUAACCCAAUAAACCUAGCCCAAAUGACCCAAUAAUCCUAACCCAUGUAUAGAAUUUCAGGCUUAAAUUAAAACCCAAGCAAUCCACUCAAUGCCCAGACCCGAUUCCAGUAGCCCAAAUCUGAGACCCAACAGAACCCAAAGAAACUCAGCAGCCGAGAAACUUCUGGAAUAUGCUAGAAUAGUGCCAAAGGGUCGGGCUCCCACGAGCGGUUCCCAACAUGGCCUCCUUCACGAGAGCCUCCCCUCGUUCCUCUGUACAGUCGAGCCUGCAAAAAGAAUACACCAGAAGGAGCCAAUAACAGCAUACAUAGCAAAUGACAGUAGGAAAAUAGGAUUUUCAAUUUUUUACUUAUUUUGUAAAUCUGGCUAUAAAAAGCCAUUGAUGUAAUCCUUUUAAUCUUACGCACACUAUACGCAUACGAAAUACAAGAGAGGCAACCCAAAAAUUAUAAGGUGAUCCUAUUUUUUUUGUUUUUGCAAUUUACUUCUUUUUUGGUUUUGCAUAUUUAUUAUUUGUGCAGAGAAAAGUAAAAAGGAAGGGUUUACCUUCAUAAGUACACCAUCGGAACCCCUAUCUCCUUCAUCGCAAUCGGAGCUUGAGAUGGGAUCUUUAAGUUAAAAUCAGCAGUCACAAGUGGUUUUUCAAACGGGGAAAAGAGGGGUAUAUACUCAUCGCCAUUCAUCAAAUACAAUGGUGCCAUGACGAUUAAUGAGCUUUUUUUGGCUAAACUUGAUGAGAAUUGAAAGGGUGCUAUGGUUUUGUUUCUUUUGUCAGCCAAAUGAGGGGAAAAUGGGGCAUUAGGGUUUUGAUUCAAUUGUAGCUUGAAGAAAUGGAAGAUUGCCAUUCAAUUUCCUGUAAUUUUGGAUUAAAAAUGAAACGUCGCCGUUUAAGGAUAAGAGAUCCGUGCGUCGACCCGUUCCAGGACCCGGAUCCGCGCCUUAGCUCUUCAAAUGGGGAAUUUGCGCGUUAGAUCCUUCCCCCCGCUCGAGCAUUCAAUUGUGCCUUGUUUGAUUUACUUUGUUUUUUAAAUUUGGCUCCAUAAUUUGCGUGCAUUUUCAUUUUAGUCCGCUACCCAGCGCUGCAUUUUAGGACUUGGAUUAUUUCCAGUUCUAGUCCUUAUACAUUUGCGCGCAUUACAUAUUGGUGUUUUUUUCGAUUAUUUUAUUUGUAAAUUGUCCCUUUUGUUUCAAUUUUGUUUUAAUUAAGUUUUGUAUCCUC
This 1645-nucleotide long non-coding RNA is filed under the name Gossypium barbadense (sea-island cotton). RNAcentral's name for it is "long non-coding RNA (GBAR_LNC011426)". The record is from RNAcentral. Lineage: Eukaryota; Viridiplantae; Streptophyta; Magnoliopsida; Malvales; Malvaceae.